RNAcentral lists this long non-coding RNA (693 nucleotides) under Marmota monax (woodchuck). The record is from RNAcentral. Lineage: Eukaryota; Metazoa; Chordata; Mammalia; Rodentia; Sciuridae.
UGGAGCAAGGAUCUCGGUCCCCAGAGCCCUCAGAGAACGCCACACUGAGGGGAGCCUCAGAGGCCACAAGCGCGGAUUCCCAGCCCGGCCCUGGCCUGGCCCCUCAAAGCCAGCCCUCUCUGCCCCAGCCUCGCUUUCUCCGUCUGGAGAUGAGUGGCCCCAACGUCACUUGGUUGGAAGGACACUUGUUCAGCCAGCAGGUCCCGGGCUCGCCGCAGCCUGGAAGCCAUGUUCACCAGGCCCCCAGCUCUGGUCCCAGGGAUUGGAAGUCCCUGGGCUACAGGGGCCGGCGGGCCUGGCCAGGCUUGGCUUCUCGGUCCUACCGGAGUGCUGGGCACCUCAGGAGAGCCGGCAGACAGAACCUUCAUCAAGCUUUGCUGCAGGGGCUGGGGUGGACACAUGAAACAAACCACAGAGGCUGCAGCCUCGCGGCCUUCGAGGCAAGUGCGAGAUGGGCAAGAGGGGACACAGAAAGAUAGAGCUGGGAGAAGGGCAGGACGUGAGAGCGUGUGUCCUGUGGUCGAGGGCAGCAGCACAGCAGAAGGCUGUGAGAGCUCCGCCGGGAGGCAGGGAGGCAGGUGGAGGCCGGUCUGGCUCUGCCGCCAGGUGCUUCCUGCCUCUGCCCCGCCCAGCCACCUCCUGAUGGUUGGUGUGGAGACAACAGAGCCUGUCCGCUCGGCUGCCCAGACGAGA